UACGUAGGGACCGAGCGUUGUCCGGAAUCAUUGGGCGUAAAGCGCGUGUAGGCGGCUCGAUAAGUCUGCUGUGAAAGUCCAAGGCUCAACCUUGGGAUGCCGGUGGAUACUGUCGAGCUCGAGUCCGGAAGAGGAGUGUGGAAUUCCUGGUGUAGCGGUGAAAUGCGCAGAUAUCAGGAGGAACACCAAUGGCGAAGGCAGCACUCUGGGACGUGACUGACGCUGAGACGCGAAAGCGUGGGGAGCAAACAGG
Molecule: ribosomal RNA, 253 nt
Filed under: uncultured bacterium
Lineage: Bacteria
Description: partial 16S ribosomal RNA
Rfam family: Bacterial small subunit ribosomal RNA
Source: RNAcentral